Molecule: non-coding RNA, 236 nt
Organism: Pelodiscus sinensis (Chinese soft-shelled turtle)
Lineage: Eukaryota; Metazoa; Chordata; Testudines; Trionychidae
Source: RefSeq, a predicted model, not a curated record
CCUGCCACUGCGAGAACGGGACCACGUGCCAUGGCGAGACGGGGGCAUGUCUGUGCCCGCUGGGAUUCACAGGCGCACACUGCGAGCUCCCCUGCCACAGCGGCUCCGAUGGGCACCCUUGCCCGGCUCACUGCCCCUGCCAGAAAGGGGGCAUCUGCCACCCCCCGAACAGCACCCACUGCCUCUGCCCUCCAGGAUGGAUGGGCACUAUCUGCUCCAUCCCAUGCCCACCGGGG